ACCUGGUCUGGAGAUGAGGCUGGCACACGUCUUCCUAGGUUGGUCUGCAUGGGGUCCACCUGUUGAGUUUGAGAUGAUUCGGGUUUUUUAGAGGACUCUGGGGCUGGGGGAUGACUGGCAGGGAGUUCGUAAAUGAUGGUUUGUAGAUCAUUUAGGGAUUGUGUGGGCCUGAUGGUGGGCUGAAGAUCCGGGGGCAAUGCAAAGCUGAUGCGUUUUUUAGAAUCCAGAAUCUUCUUGGAAUUAUGAAAUGUUCUCAUUGGAGUGUGAGUUCGGCAGGUAGUCUGCUCCUCGACAAAUAUUUGCAUGGUAUCCGCAGUUGGGUAUUCACAUAACACAGAACUUUCUGUAAGAGAGCGUGAUGAGCCUGAUAAUACUGUGGUCCGCUGCUGCCCAUUUGAUCCGGGCAAGCGGUUACUUUUAAUGGUCGUCUGGCCUAUGGUUGAUAAAAAGGGGCUGCUAAUACUAAUUCCUGGUAGACUAGUGGCAGACAAGCUAUUACUAAGAGUACUCCUCUGCAUGCUAGAUGUAGGUUGAGUGUUAACAGGACUGCUCCUCAGAGCGCUAGUUACUGGUAGGAUGUUAACAGGACUGGUCCUCUGAGCAUUAGUUGCUGGUAGGGUGUUACCAGGACUGCUCCUCUGAGAACUAGUUUCUGGUAAGGUGUUAACAGGAUUGUUUCUUGGAGCGCUAGUUACUGGUUGGAUGUUAACAGGACUGGUCCUCUGAGCACUAGUUACUGGUAGGGUAUUAUAAGGAUUGUUCCAUGGAUCACUAACUGGUGGCAUUUUGGUAACCGGAGCCAUCCUUUCAGUAGUAGUUGCUGUCAAUGUAGUCACUGCUGGUUGAAUGUUGUUUUCAAUCAUCCUUUGCAUGCCGGAGGUGGAAAACAUGUCGUGGGGGCUCAUAGUCUGCAAGCCAGAUGUUGGCAAAUUAUUUUUAGGGCUGGUCUUUUGCAUGCCGGCUGGUGGAAGUGUAUGACUUGUGCCAAUCUUCUGUUCACCGGAUACAUUCUGGCUGUUACUGACACCGGUUCUGUUUGCAGUAACUAUUGCUAAGUUGUCAUUGCUUUUGAUCUCUUGCCUAUGUAAUGAUGAUAGGCCAUCAGAGUUGAUCUGCUGAUCAGAAGGCAGGUAAGCAUAGCUAUACUGUAUCCUUGGUACAUCCCCUGCCACUUCCUCGCACUGAACGUUGUAUGGCUGGCACCCAUUGGCACUCAAUGACUGAGAGGUUAAGACUUUGACAUAUUUCGCUGGAAUAUAGAAUGGUUUUGACUUGUUAUCGUGGCAGACGUGCCACCAAUGCUCAUUAGUCUUUUUCAGGAGUAUGUACCUCUCGUUAGGUUUUAUAGUGAUGACACGUCCGUCUUUAGCGGUGUACUCGAACUCAUGUUCCACAAGGACAAACUCCCUCUCCAGAAUUCUGGUAGACUGCAUCCUAACGAUCUGGAUUUAGCCUGUAGCAGGACAACAACAGAAGACCAACACGUGAUUAAUAUGGAGUCAGGAAUAGUUGGUUACUUUGCCAUACGCAAUAUAUAAAAAUAGAAACAUCACAAAAAUGUCCUUUUAACUCUGUCAACAUACAUAAUAUCUAAUAUCCCUAAAACCUCCUCAGCCUCUCCUGGCAUGAAGGGACCUGUAAACAUAUUUG
Molecule: non-coding RNA, 1650 nt
Organism: Pelobates cultripes (western spadefoot toad)
Lineage: Eukaryota; Metazoa; Chordata; Amphibia; Anura; Pelobatidae
Source: the annotation of a GenBank genome assembly